RNAcentral lists this ribosomal RNA (397 nucleotides) under uncultured bacterium. RNAcentral's name for it is "bacterial SSU rRNA". It matches the Rfam family "Bacterial small subunit ribosomal RNA", at positions 30 to 424 of the family's 1533-position model. The record is from RNAcentral.
AUUGAACGCUGGCGGCAUGCUUUACACAUGCAAGUCGAACGGCAGCACGGGUGCUUGCACCUGGUGGCGAGUGGCGGACGGGUGAGUAAUACAUCGGAACGUGUCCUGAAGUGGGGGAUAACGCAUCGAAAGAUGUGCUAAUACCGCAUAUUCUCUGAGGAGGAAAGUAGGAGAUCGAAAGACCUUAUGCUUUUGGAGCGGCCGAUGUCUGAUUAGCUAGUUGGUAAGGUAAUGGCUUACCAAGGCGACGAUCAGUAGUUGGUCUGAGAGGACGACCAGCCACACUGGGACUGAGACACGGCCCAGACUCCUACGGGAGGCAGCAGUGGGGAAUUUUGGGACAAUGGGCGCAAGCCUGAUCCAGCAAUGCCGCGUGAGUGAAGAAGGCCUUCGGGUU